GAUGAAAGAACGCAGCGAAAUGCGAUACGUAAUGUGAAUUGCAGAAUUCAGUGAAUCAUCGAGUCUUUGAACGCACAUUGCGCCCCCUGGUAUUCCGGGGGGCAUGCCUGUCCGAGCGUCAUUGCUGCCCUCAAGCACGGCUUGUGUGUUGGGCCUCCGUCCUCCUCCCGGGGGACGGGCCCGAAAGGCAGCGGCGGCACCGCGUCCGGUCCUCGAGCGUAUGGGGCUUCGUCACCCGCUCUUGUAGGCCCGGCCGGCGCUUGCCGACACAUCAAUCUUUUUUCCAGGUUGACCUCGGAUCAGGUAGGGAUACCCGCUGAACUUAAGCAUAUCAAUAGCGGAGGA
This 345-nucleotide unclassified non-coding RNA is filed under the name soil metagenome. Its description in RNAcentral is "partial contains 5.8S ribosomal RNA, internal transcribed spacer 2, and large subunit ribosomal RNA". The stretch from base 6 to 121 matches the Rfam family "5.8S ribosomal RNA", at positions 39 to 154 of the family's 154-position model. The record is from RNAcentral.